RNAcentral lists this ribosomal RNA (491 nucleotides) under uncultured bacterium. Its description in RNAcentral is "partial 16S ribosomal RNA". It matches the Rfam family "Bacterial small subunit ribosomal RNA", at positions 29 to 507 of the family's 1533-position model. The record is from RNAcentral.
AGUGAACGCUGGCGGUAGGCCUAACACAUGCAAGUCGAACGGCAGCACAGUAAGAGCUUGCUCUUACGGGUGGCGAGUGGCGGACGGGUGAGGAAUACAUCGGAAUCUACUUUUUCGUGGGGGAUAGCGUAGGGAAACUUCGCUAAUACCGCAUACGACCUACGGGUGAAAGCAGGGGAUCUUCGGACCUUGCGCGAUUGAAUGAGCCGAUGUCGGAUUAGCUAGUUGGCGGGGUAAAGGUCCACCAAGGCGACGAUCCGUAGCUGGUCUGAGAGGAUGAUCAGCCACACUGGAACUGAGACACGGUCCAGACUCCUAAGGGAGGCAGCAGUGGGGAAUAUUGGACAAUGGGCGCAGGCCUGAUCCAGCCAUACCGCGUGGGUGAAGAAGGCCUUCGGGUUGUAAAGCCCUUUUGUUGGGAAAGAAAAGCAGCAGGUUAAUACCCCGCUGUUCUGACGGUACCCAAAGAAUAAGCACCGGCUAACUUCGUG